Plodia interpunctella (Indianmeal moth) is the source of this 681-nucleotide long non-coding RNA. RefSeq lists it as uncharacterized. NCBI's taxonomy places the organism in Eukaryota, Metazoa, Arthropoda, Insecta, Lepidoptera, Pyralidae. The transcript has 2 exons. The record is from RefSeq and is a predicted model, not a curated record.
CGAAACACCAACCAUCCGCCAUUACCGACCCGACCACUUGCCACUUGUUGUAGGCAUUUUGUAGCGUUCGUCAGCCACCUUCGUAGCGUAGACGCACGUCACGUCAUCAAAAUGAAAAAAAAUCCAAUAGACCAACUCAAUAGAUGGCGCUUUACAAAAAAAUCAUAAUGCCGCAGUCCGAAGAACUUGGCGUAUUCAGCAUACCUACAUUACUGUUUUUCAUUGUGCUUAAUAAAAACACUCAUACAAUCUACGCAAUGUUCAGUUCGGCGAGAUGUUUCGCUAUAAUGUAUAGCCGGCAUAAUAAACAAAAUUAAGUGACAUGAUCGUGUUUCAAUAUGUGUAUGCCCAUGGUUUAAAAUCUAUUUUUAUCUAGUUUUCUUAUGAAUAUUUAUAUAUUUUUAUUAAGAAAAUAGGGUUGGCGCCUGAGCAAAAAAUUAAAUGUUUAGAUAGACCGUCAUGUAUAUUAAACAACCCUACUUCCUGCAUUUCCUGUCACGCUGCCUUCCGCUUCCGCUGUUAAAUUGCUACAAAAAUUCAAAAAGUUUGGUUGAAGUUUUACUGCUGUACUUAGUAAUUAAUUUUCGUAUUGCAGGAAGAAUAUUUCACUAUUGCAACACUUGCUUACUAGCACUAUACUACUACUUUUGUGUAAUACCGUAAAUACAAGAUCAGUUAUCA